AGGCAGCAGUGAGGAAUAUUGGUCAAUGGGCGGGAGCCUGAACCAGCCAAGCCGCGUGAAGGAGGAAGGCGCCAGGCGUCGUAAACUUCUUUUGUCGGGGAACAAAGGGCGCCACGCGUGGCGUUGUGAGUGUACCCGAAGAAAAAGCAUCGGCUAACUCCGUGCC
This 166-nucleotide ribosomal RNA is filed under the name uncultured bacterium. RNAcentral describes it as "partial 16S ribosomal RNA". It matches the Rfam family "Bacterial small subunit ribosomal RNA", at positions 346 to 509 of the family's 1533-position model. The record is from RNAcentral.